Molecule: transfer RNA, 77 nt
Filed under: Flavimobilis soli
Lineage: Bacteria; Bacillati; Actinomycetota; Actinomycetes; Micrococcales; Jonesiaceae
Description: Sanguibacter soli tRNA-Leu
Rfam family: tRNA
About the family: Transfer RNA (tRNA) molecules are approximately 80 nucleotides in length. Their secondary structure includes four short double-helical elements and three loops (D, anti-codon, and T loops). Further hydrogen bonds mediate the characteristic L-shaped molecular structure. tRNAs have two regions of fundamental functional importance: the anti-codon, which is responsible for specific mRNA codon recognition, and the 3' end, to which the tRNAs corresponding amino acid is attached (by aminoacyl-tRNA synthetases). tRNAs cope with the degeneracy of the genetic code in two manners: having more than one tRNA (with a specific anti-codon) for a particular amino acid; and 'wobble' base-pairing, i.e. permitting non-standard base-pairing at the 3rd anti-codon position.
Source: RNAcentral
GCCCCCGUAGCCCAACCGGCAGAGGCAGUCGGCUUAAACCCGACCGAGUGUGGGUUCGAGUCCCACCGGGGGCACCG